Trichobilharzia regenti is the source of this 46-nucleotide non-coding RNA. Lineage: Eukaryota; Metazoa; Platyhelminthes; Trematoda; Strigeidida; Schistosomatidae. The record is from Rfam.
GUACUGCUGAAGAGUCCCAAACUAGGAUGAAAUAGCUGUCCAGCAC